Molecule: long non-coding RNA, 1902 nt
Organism: Salvia splendens (bonfire salvia)
Lineage: Eukaryota; Viridiplantae; Streptophyta; Magnoliopsida; Lamiales; Lamiaceae
Exons: 5
Source: RefSeq, a predicted model, not a curated record
CGUUUAUUCAUCCCCUUGUUUUUAGCUAGGAUGUAACAUAGUACUAUAUGGAAUUUCCAGGAUGCUAUAAUGAGAUAGGUGAAUGAACAAACAAAUUUAGUUGUGUGGGAACACCGUACAUCACUAGCUCUCUCCAAUCUCUUUCUUGAUGAGCUUCCUUUGUUUGCAACAAAGAGGUGGUAUCCUUCUUUGUGGCCCUCCAGGAGUGGGGAAGACAUUAUUAGCAAAAGCUGUUACUGGUGAGGCAGGUGUAAACUUCUUCUCCAUAUCUGCAUCUCAGUUUGUCGAAAUAUAUGUGGGAGUCGCGAGCACUCUAUCAAGAAGCAAGGGACAAUGUGAGAAUUCAAUUCCUUUUAUCUGAUUGUGGUGAUUGUUGGGCUUCUUUGGAUCAAGCAAAUAGGUUUACUACUCAGAACGUGGAAUGCUUUUGAUACUCGAUUCCUAAAUUCUAAUAUUUUGUUAUGAUUCCACCUUUUAGUUAGCUUUUGGGAGGAGUUCCAUUCUUGAGUGCCUUAUGAUUUCUUAUAGGUUUGACGUGAGACCGUACAUAUUUGCUCUCUUUGCUCAUUAAUUCUAAUAGUUGCUCUUUUUUGUCCAUGAGAUUUUGACUGCAUUUGUUCAUCAAAGACCAUGCAUUGUUGUUUUCUUACUUUCACAGAGCUUAUAUUUGUGGAAGUGAUGUGAUGUGCGUGAGUCAAGCAUUUGCAGGCUCCAUCUGUUGUUUUCAUCGAUGAACUGGAUGUUGACGGAAGUGCACAUGGUUUGAUUAAGUGGUCUGGUGGGCAAGAACGUGAUGCUACUUUAAAUCCGGUCUCUUGCACAUAUUUGAUUGCUUAUAAUUGUGAUGUGACACCACACAAUAAUGGUCUGAUUCGACUGUAAUAUAAAAUACCUUAUCGAUCCUCUAGCUUCUUGUGUGCCUGGAUGGGUUCGAAGGCAGAGGAGAAGUCAUUACCAUUGCUUCUACAAACAGGACAGACAUUUUGGAUGCAGCACUUGUGAGACCAGGGAGGUUCGACCGGAAAAUACACAUACCCAAGCCUGGACUGGUUGGCCGUGUUGAAAUUCUGAAGAUGCGGUUCAUGCUAGGAAGAAAUCAAUGGCCCCUGACGUGGACUAUUUGGCUGCUGCGACUAUGACUGAUGGAGUGGUUGGAGCUGAGCUGUCCAACAUUAUCGAGGUUGCUGCUAUCAACAUGAUGCGCGAUGAAAGAACAGAGAUUACUAAUGAUGAUUUGUUACCAGAGCUGCACAAAUAGAAGAAAGAGGAAUGCUUGAUAAUAGAGAGAACAGCCCCGAGAUCUGGAAGCAAGUAGCUAUAAAUGAAGCUGAAAUGGCCAUAGUUGCUGUCAAUUUCCCGGAUCUUAGAUAUAUCUAUCGAGUUUUUAUGUUCUGAUCUUUCAGUUUCAGUUGCUUCCUUCUAUUUUAACCUAGCAGCAUUUUAUUAGAGUUCUGUUAAUCAAAUGGGAAAUUCUAAAGUAUUGUCGUUUAUUUUUCGUGUCAGGUGACGAUUUCUCGAAGAGCUGGAAUGGAUUUAGGAUACGUCCGCUCCCUCUGUAUUCCUGGAGAUCUUCAAUUAAAGAUUUUUAAAACAACUUUAAAAUUGGUUCUUUUGUUUUAGGCAAAAAACAUGUUUCUUCACCCCGGGACUCCCAGCAGCCGGGAACAGAGGUAUGGGCUUAUAUUCUCAAUUGGUAACGCACAAUUUUUCUGAUUGAAGGCCGAGCUUCGUCCCUAGAAUGCAAACGAGCAGCUCCGUCCUGAGUUUGUUCUUGAAUCCGGCCAACACUUUAUUUUCUCAAUUGUGUUUUAGCAAUUCCUCUUUUGGUUUGAAUCAGUACUCUAAUUGGGCCAUACAUAAUAUUUUAUUGGUAGGUAUGAUAAUCUUUGGUUAAUUAUGUAA